RNAcentral lists this long non-coding RNA (2787 nucleotides) under Sus scrofa (pig). RNAcentral describes it as "lncRNA (ENSSSCG00035066805.1)". The record is from RNAcentral. Lineage: Eukaryota; Metazoa; Chordata; Mammalia; Artiodactyla; Suidae.
AAUAAUUUGAUUACUGUGUUUCAGUAUAAUUGUUUUCAUUCAUAAUCCUAUGCAUAUCGUAUGCAUUUAAAAACAUAAUUCUGAAAGGGGGCUUUGUAUGCUUCAUGACUGCCAAAGGGAUCCAUGGCACAAAAAAAAAGGUUAAGAAUGUCUAGUAAGGAUUCUGGUAUUGUGAUUAAGAACAUGCAGUCUUUUUUUUUUUUUUUUUUUUAAAGUUACACAUACAUUUUGUGUCUCGGAUUCUUCAUGAAUGAAAUGGAAAUAAUACUACUUACCUAAAAGGCAUGCAGUGAAGAUGAAGAAAUAGCUGUAAAAGGUUUAACACAAUGCCAAGCAUAUAGUAUGCCAUUUAUCUCCAUCCACAUUGUCCAGAUUCAUUCAAGUCCUACUUACAUUUACUCUGCAUACAGAUUUUUGUUUUACCAUGCUGUCACUGGCUAAACUUAAAAUUACAUUACAAAAUGUUGGCUAGUUUCAAAUGAAAUUCAUAAAAUACAUGUGUGAUAUAAGGAAAAUUGAUACAACAAAGAUCCAUAUGCCCUCCAUCCAGGUUAAAGGGAAGUUAUUUUUAAAAGAAUGAACACAUAAUUUAGUAUCAAAACUAGGACCUUCUGAGAGUGAAAGAGGGUGCUCUUAGUUAUUACACUAGGAAAAUAGGCAAACAAGGACUAUUCUGACUAAACCAACAUGUAUAGUCACAUGUUGUAUGUUCCUUGUAUGCCCUUGCCUAAUCCAUUCCCUUCCUUCUGCAGCUAAAGAUCACUAUCUUGAUUUUUUGGUUAUCAUUCUUUUACUUUAUAGACUUAUUUCAUGUUUGUACUCAAAAUACUGUUUACUUUUAUUGGUUCUUUAAUUUGUAAACGUGGAAUCCUACUGUACUCCUCUUUUAUGAAUUGUUAUUUUGCACAACAUUGUUAGUGAUUCAUCCAUGUCCAUGGAUUUGUGAUUCAUUUUCCCUACGUUGUAGUACUGUACACAAUACAUUUAACCACUCUACUGUUGAUACACAGUUGGUUUAUUUCCAAUUUUUAUUGUUAUAAGCAAUUGUUAGGAAUUUUCUUGCUUAUAUAUCCUGAUACACAUUUCUCCUGGGCCAUAAAAGCAUCUUCAGGUUUCCUAGAUAAGAUCAAAUUAUUUUCCAAAUUGAUACAUCAAUUUAUACUUCAACCAUAAUGUAUAAUUGUUCUGGUGAUAUUGUCAAACUUUAAAAUUUUUCGUUAUGUGAUAGAUAUGAAAUGAUAUUUCCUUGUGGUUGAGCAUCUCUUCAGGUUUCCUUCCUCCUUUAUGAAUUGCCUAUUUAGAGUAUGGUAGUGAAGAACUUUAUUAAAAAAUUAAAUUGUAGUAAUUCUUUACAUAAUUUGAAUAUUAAUCCCUUUGCCAGUAAUAUGGGUUGUAAAGAUCUCCCAGUUUGUGUUUUGUCUUUUACUCUCCUUAUUAUGCCUUUUUUUUUUUACUUUUUAUUAUGGAAAAUUUUAAACAUAAAUAAAAGUAUGCAGAGUAGAAUAAUGAGCUUCCAUUUAUCUAUCACUUAGCUUCAACAAUUAUCCACUCAUAACCAAUUCUGCUUCAUUUAUAUAGUACUUUUCCCACCUCUUAAUAUUUUGAAGUAUAUUCCAGACAUUAUAUCAUUACAUAUCUAAAUAUUUCAGUAUAUAUCUAUAAAAAAUAGAUAUAUUUAUUAAUUUUUUGGUCUUUUUUUAGGGCUGCACCUGUGGCAUAUGGAGGCUCCCAGGGUAGGGGUCAAAACGAGCUACAGCUGCCGGCCUACACCACAGCCACAGGAAUGCUAGAUCUGAGCCACCUCUGUGACCUAUACCACAGCUCACUGCAAUGCUGGAUCCUUAAUCCACUGAGCGACGCCAAGGAUCUAAUCUGCGUCCUCAUGGAUCCUAGUCAGAUUUGUUUCUGCUGAGCCAUGAGCCACGAUGGGAACUCCUAAAAAACAAAUAUCUUUAAAGAUUACUCAUAACACAAAAAUAAUUUAUACAAGUUCCUAAUAUCAAUAAAUAUUCAAUAAGUAUCCACAUUUCCAAUGAUCUUAAGUGUGCUUGUGUUUUAAAGUUUGUUUGAAUCACGAUUUAGAACAAGUCUUGUGGUAGCAGGGCUCCCAAAUGAUACCCAAUGAUUUCUAUGCCCUGGUCCUUACAUCCUUGUAUAAUCUCUUCACAUGAUUUUGGUUGGUAUGUGAUCAACCUCUUGAUCACGUAUCUGUGUAAUGAGAGAUCAAAAAAGACAUAAAAGCCAUGGUGGCUUUUGUCUUUCUUUCUCUUAGAUUACUCGCCAGGCAGCUCUGUGGAGAGGCAUAUAUGGUGAGAAACUGAGGUAUCCUGCCAGUGAGAGUAAGCCAUCUUGGGAGUGGAUUCUCUAGCACAGAUUAAGCCACUAAAUGAUGGCAUCCUAGCUGACAGCUUGACUUCUACUUUACAGAGACCCUGAGCCAGACCACUCAGCUAAGCUACCCCUGGAUUUCUAACCCUCAGAUACUGAAUGAGAUAGAUAUGUUUGUUGCUUUAAAAAUUAUGUUUUGGGGAGUUCCUGUUGUGGUGCAGCAGAAUCUAAUCCGACUAGGAACCAUGAAGUUGUGGGUUCGAUCCGUGGACUCACUCAGUGGGUUAAGGAUUCAGUGUUGCCGUGAGCUGUGGCAUAGGUCGUAGACGUGGCUUGGAUCUGGCAUUGAUGUGGCUCUGGUGUAGGCUGGCAGCUAUAGCUCUGAUUGGACCCCUAGCCUGGGAAACUCCAUAUGCCGCGAGUGCAGCCCUAAAAAGACAAAAAAAAAAAAAAAAAAAA